UACGUAGGGGGCAAGCGUUGUCCGGAAUCAUUGGGCGUAAAGAGCGCGUAGGCGGCCCAGUAAGUCCGCUCUGAAAGUCAGGGGCUCAACCCCUGAAUGCGGGUGGAUACUGCUGGGCUAGAGUCCGGAAGAGGCGAGUGGAAUUCCUGGUGUAGCGGUGAAAUGCGCAGAUAUCAGGAAGAACACCCGUGGCUAAGGCGGCUCUCUAGUACGGUACUGACGCUGAGACGCGAAAGCGUGGGGAGCGAACAGG
This 253-nucleotide ribosomal RNA is filed under the name uncultured bacterium. RNAcentral's name for it is "partial 16S ribosomal RNA". It matches the Rfam family "Bacterial small subunit ribosomal RNA", at positions 524 to 776 of the family's 1533-position model. The record is from RNAcentral.